This 83-nucleotide transfer RNA is filed under the name Artomyces pyxidatus. RNAcentral's name for it is "tRNA-Tyr". It matches the Rfam family "tRNA". Rfam says of the family: Transfer RNA (tRNA) molecules are approximately 80 nucleotides in length. Their secondary structure includes four short double-helical elements and three loops (D, anti-codon, and T loops). Further hydrogen bonds mediate the characteristic L-shaped molecular structure. tRNAs have two regions of fundamental functional importance: the anti-codon, which is responsible for specific mRNA codon recognition, and the 3' end, to which the tRNAs corresponding amino acid is attached (by aminoacyl-tRNA synthetases). tRNAs cope with the degeneracy of the genetic code in two manners: having more than one tRNA (with a specific anti-codon) for a particular amino acid; and 'wobble' base-pairing, i.e. permitting non-standard base-pairing at the 3rd anti-codon position. Lineage: Eukaryota; Fungi; Basidiomycota; Agaricomycetes; Russulales; Auriscalpiaceae. The record is from RNAcentral.
CCUUCGAUAGCUCAGUUGGAAGAGCGUGGGACUGUAAUGGCUUAGUUAUCCCGAGGUCGCUGGUUCGAUCCCGGCUCGAAGGA